Molecule: ribosomal RNA, 569 nt
Filed under: uncultured bacterium
Lineage: Bacteria
Description: partial 16S ribosomal RNA
Rfam family: Bacterial small subunit ribosomal RNA
Source: RNAcentral
UGGGGAAUAUUGGACAAUGGGCGCAAGCCUGAUCCAGCAAUGCCGCGUGUGUGAAGAAGGCCUUCGGGUUGUAAAGCACUUUUAUCAGGAGCGAAACGCUGUCGGCUAAUACCCGGCGGAACUGACGGUACCUGAGGAAUAAGCACCGGCUAACUUCGUGCCAGCAGCCGCGGUAAUACGAAGGGUGCAAGCGUUAAUCGGAAUUACUGGGCGUAAAGCGUGCGUAGGCGGUUUCUUAAGUCUGCUGUGAAAUCCCCGGGCUCAACCUGGGAAUGGCAGUGGAUACUGGGAGGCUAGAGUGUGUCAGAGGGUGGUGGAAUUCCCGGUGUAGCGGUGAAAUGCGUAGAGAUCGGGAGGAACAUCAGUGGCGAAGGCGGCCACCUGGGACAACACUGACGCUGAGGCACGAAAGCGUGGGGAGCAAACAGGAUUAGAUACCCUGGUAGUCCACGCCCUAAACGAUGCGAACUGGAUGUUGGUCUCAACUCGGAGAUCAGUGUCGAAGCUAACGCGUUAAGUUCGCCGCCUGGGGGAGUACGGUCGCAAGACUGAAACUCAAAUGAAUUGAC